UUCGCAAUGCCCGAAAGGGUGACGAAGCGACGCCGCGUGCGGGAAGAAGGCCUUCGGGUUGUAAACCGCUGUCGGGAGUUAAGAAAUGUAAGGAUGUUAAUAGCAUCUUUGCUUGACUAAGGCUCCGGAGGAAGCCACGGCUAACUCUGUGCCAGCAGCCGCGGUAAUACAGAGGCGGCAAGCGUUGUUCGGAAUUAUUGGGCGUAAAGAGCACGUAGGCGGCUAUGUAAGUCGGUUGUGAAAGCCUUCCGCUCAACGGGAGAACAGCAUCCGAUACUGCAUGGCUUGAGUGCGGGAGGGGAGAGUGGAACUUCUGGUGGAGCGGUGAAAUGCGUAGAUAUCAGAAGGAACGCCGGCGGCGAAAGCGGCUCUCUGGCCCAUAACUGACGCUGAGUGUGCGAAAGCUAGGGGAGCAAACGGGAUUAGAUACCCCGGUAGUCCUAGCCGUAAACGAUGGGCACUAAGUAGAGGGGUUUUAAUCUC
RNAcentral lists this ribosomal RNA (483 nucleotides) under uncultured bacterium. RNAcentral's name for it is "bacterial SSU rRNA". It matches the Rfam family "Bacterial small subunit ribosomal RNA", at positions 365 to 841 of the family's 1533-position model. The record is from RNAcentral.